UCCUACGGGGGGCAGCAGUGGGGAAUUUUGGACAAUGGGGGCAACCCUGAUCCAGCCAUGCCGCGUGAGUGAAGAAGGCCUUCGGGUUGUAAAGCUCUUUCGGCCGGGAAGAAAUCGCACAGGCUAAUACCUUGUGUGGAUGACGGUACCGGAAUAAGAAGCACCGGCUAACUACGUGCCAGCAGCCGCGGUAAUACGUAGGGGGCGAGCGUUAAUCGGAAUUACUGGGCGUAAAGCGUGCGCAGGCGGUUUUUUAAGAUAGGCGUGAAAUCCCCGGGCUUAACCUGGGAACUGCGCUUAUGACUGGAAGACUAGAGUACGGCAGAGGGGGGUGGAAUUCCACGUGUAGCAGUGAAAUGCGUAGAGAUGUGGAGGAACACCGAUGGCGAAGGCAGCCCCCUGGGCCGAUACUGACGCUCAUGCACGAAAGCGUGGGGAGCAAACAGGAUUAGAUACCCCAGUAGUCUU
RNAcentral lists this ribosomal RNA (468 nucleotides) under uncultured Dechloromonas sp. RNAcentral's name for it is "bacterial SSU rRNA". It matches the Rfam family "Bacterial small subunit ribosomal RNA", at positions 337 to 797 of the family's 1533-position model. Lineage: Bacteria; Pseudomonadati; Pseudomonadota; Betaproteobacteria; Rhodocyclales; Azonexaceae. The record is from RNAcentral.